ACGGGAGGCAGCAGUGGGGAAUAUUGCACAAUGGGGGAAACCCUGAUGCAGCAACGCCGCGUGAGUGAUGACGGCCUUCGGGUUGUAAAGCUCUGUCUUCAGGGACGAUAAUGACGGUACCUGAGGAGGAAGCCACGGCUAACUACGUGCCAGCAGCCGCGGUAAUACGUAGGUGGCGAGCGUUGUCCGGAUUUACUGGGCGUAAAGGGAGCGUAGGCGGACUUUUAAGUGAGAUGUGAAAUACCCGGGCUCAACUUGGGUGCUGCAUUUCAAACUGGAAGUCUAGAGUGCAGGAGAGGAGAAUGGAAUUCCUAGUGUAGCGGUGAAAUGCGUAGAGAUUAGGAAGAACACCAGUGGCGAAGGCGAUUCUCUGGACUGUAACUGACGCUGAGGCUCGAAAGCGUGGGGAGCAAACAGGAUUAGAUACCCUGGUA
This 434-nucleotide ribosomal RNA is filed under the name uncultured Clostridium sp. RNAcentral describes it as "partial 16S ribosomal RNA". It matches the Rfam family "Bacterial small subunit ribosomal RNA", at positions 341 to 792 of the family's 1533-position model. Lineage: Bacteria; Bacillati; Bacillota; Clostridia; Eubacteriales; Clostridiaceae. The record is from RNAcentral. RNAcentral also lists the same sequence under 1 other name.